GGAUCGGUAGCUUAGUUGGUUAAGCACUCGUCUAGCACACAAUAGGCUUGAGUUCAAAUCCCACCUGAGCAC
This 72-nucleotide transfer RNA is filed under the name Aedes aegypti (yellow fever mosquito). It matches the Rfam family "tRNA". Rfam says of the family: Transfer RNA (tRNA) molecules are approximately 80 nucleotides in length. Lineage: Eukaryota; Metazoa; Arthropoda; Insecta; Diptera; Culicidae. The record is from Rfam by way of RNAcentral.